UAUUAAAGAAGUUGCACCAUUUGCAACCUUGGUACAGAUGAUUUCAAUAGUUUGCACUUUAACGGGUUGUGUUUGAUUAUUGGUAAGAACUUGGCCUUAAAAUUUCUGCAGAUUCUACGUCGAAGUUUAUCAUAUUUUAUUAUGAGAACAUUAGAUUGACAUUACAAUUAUUGUGCAUGGUGAUAUUGGUUAAUAUGCAUCUCACUUUGCACAUUGUACUAAAGCAAUACUUCCAAAUUUAAGCACUUCACCGUCAAUCUUUCCAUACUUGCAUGGUAAUUAAUACCGACCAUGUAACAUUUGGCAGUCUAUUAAGUUUCUUCAAAAGGUGGUAAUAACAUUUUUGUCCUGUUACUAUAUUGCAGUGUGAGAAAGCAGUCAAAAGUGUGGCCCUUAAAUUUAAAGAGAGGCGAUGACAGGUGGACUACAUACCUGGGUUCUAUAAUAGGAUUUAAAAUGGUUAAAGAGUCCAGAUAAAUAUUUUGGGUAUAUUGUUUUUUCCCUUUGGUUUCUUAUUUCCGCUGUCCGCAUUUUUAUGUAUUCUUAAUAUAAAGAAGUAAAGAUC
RNAcentral lists this long non-coding RNA (565 nucleotides) under Hordeum vulgare. Its description in RNAcentral is "long non-coding RNA (HVUL_LNC015004)". Lineage: Eukaryota; Viridiplantae; Streptophyta; Magnoliopsida; Poales; Poaceae. The record is from RNAcentral.